CUGACGUGAGUAACGACAAAACGGGUGAAAAACCCGUUCGCCGAAAGACCAAGGGUUCCAGUCCAACGUUAAUCGGGGCUGGGUGAGUCGACCCCUAAGGCGAGGCCGAAAGGCGUAGUCGAUGGGAAAAUGGUUAAUAUUCCAUUACUUCUGUGUAAUGCGAUGAGAGGACGGAGAAGGCUAAAUCAGCCUGGCGUUGGUUGUCCAGGUGAAAGGAUGUAGGCAUGUAUCUUAGGCAAAUCCGGGGUACUCUAUGCUGAGAUCUGAUAGCAAGCUGUACUUGUACAGCGAAGUGGUUGAUGCCAUGCUUCCAGGAAAAGUCUCUAAGCUUCAGUUACACAGGAAUCGUACCCGAAACCGACACAGGUGGUCAGGUCGAGUAGACCAAGGCGCUUGAGAGAACUCUGCUGAAGGAACUAGGCAAAAUGGUACCGUAACUUCGGGAGAAGGUACGCUGUUGUUGGUGAUGGAACUCGCUUCCUGAGCUGACGACAGCCGCAGAAACCAGGCCGCUGCAACUGUUUAUUAAAAACAUAGCACUCUGCAAACACGAAAGUGGACGUAUAGGGUGUGAUGCCUGCCCGGUGCUGGAAGGUUAAUUGAUGGGGUUAGCGUAAGCGAAGCUCUUGAUCGAAGCCCCAGUAAACGGCGGCCGUAACUAUAACGGUCCUAAGGUAGCGAAAUUCCUUGUCGGGUAAGUUCCGACCUGCACGAAUGGCAUAAUGAUGGCGGCGCUGUCUCCAGCAGAGGCUCAGUGAAAUCGAAAUCGCUGUGAAGAUGCAGUGUACCCGCGGCUAGACGGAAAGACCCCGUGAACCUUUACUGCAGCUUGACACUGAACUUUGACCUUACUUGUGUAGGAUAGGUGGGAGGCUUUGAAGCUGGAACGCUAGUUCCAGUGGAGCCGUCCUUGAAAUACCACCCUGGUAAUGUUGAGGUUCUAACUCUGUCCCGUGAUCCGGGACGAGGACCGUGUCUGGUGGGUAGUUUGACUGGGGCGGUCUCCUCCUAAAGAGUAACGGAGGAGUACGAAGGUGCGCUCAGCGUGGUCGGAAAUCACGCGUAGAGUAUAAAGGCAAAAGCGCGCUUAACUGCGAGACCCACAAGUCGAGCAGGUACGAAAGUAGGUCUUAGUGAUCCGGUGGUUCUGUAUGGAAGGGCCAUCGCUCAACGGAUAAAAGGUACUCUGGGGAUAACAGGCUGAUACCGCCCAAGAGUUCAUAUCGACGGCGGUGUUUGGCACCUCGAUGUCGGCUCAUCUCAUCCUGGGGCUGAAGCAGGUCCCAAGGGUAUGGCUGUUCGCCAUUUAAAGAGGUACGCGAGCUGGGUUUAGAACGUCGUGAGACAGUUCGGUCCCUAUCUACCGUGGGCGCUGGAAAUUUGAGAGGAUCUGCUCCUAGUACGAGAGGACCAGAGUGGACGAACCUCUGGUGUACCGGUUGUGACGCCAGUCGCAUCGCCGGGUAGCUAUGUUCGGAAGGGAUAACCGCUGAAAGCAUCUAAGCGGGAAGCCUACCUCAAGAUAAGAUUUCCCUAGGACUUUAUGUCCUCUAAAGAGCCGUUCGAGACUAGGACGUUGAUAGGUUGGAUGUGGAAGCAUAGUGAUAUGUGAAGCUGACCAAUACUAAUUGCUCGUGAGGCUUGACUAU
RNAcentral lists this ribosomal RNA (1649 nucleotides) under Acinetobacter baumannii. RNAcentral's name for it is "partial 23S ribosomal RNA". It matches the Rfam family "Bacterial large subunit ribosomal RNA", at positions 1297 to 2925 of the family's 2925-position model. The record is from RNAcentral. Lineage: Bacteria; Pseudomonadati; Pseudomonadota; Gammaproteobacteria; Moraxellales; Moraxellaceae. RNAcentral also lists the same sequence under 1 other name.